AACGAACGCUGGCGGCAUGCCUAACACAUGCAAGUCGAACGAAGGCUUCGGCCUUAGUGGCGCACGGGUGCGUAACGCGUGGGAAUCUGCCCUUUGGUUCGGAAUAACAGCUGGAAACGGCUGCUAAUACCGGAUGAUGACGAAAGUCCAAAGAUUUAUCGCCAGAGGAUGAGCCCGCGUUGGAUUAGGUAGUUGGUGGGGUAAAGGCCUACCAAGCCGACGAUCCAUAGCCGGUCUGAGAGGAUGAUCAGCCACACUGGGACUGAGACACGGCCCAGACUCCUACGGGAAGCAGCAGUGGGGAAUAUUGGACAAUGGGCGCAAGCCUGAUCCAGCAAUGCCGCGUGAGUGAUGAAGGCCCUAGGGUUGUAAAGCUCUUUUACCCGGGAAGAUAAUGACUGUACCGGGAGAAUAAGCCCCGGCUAACUCCGUG
Molecule: ribosomal RNA, 433 nt
Filed under: uncultured bacterium
Lineage: Bacteria
Description: partial 16S ribosomal RNA
Rfam family: Bacterial small subunit ribosomal RNA
Source: RNAcentral